GAUGAACGCUGGCUACAGGCUUAACACAUGCAAGUCGAGGGGAAACGACGGGGAAGCUUGCUUCCCCGGGCGUCGACCGGCGCACGGGUGAGUAACGCGUAUCCAACCUGCCUCUGACUGAGGGAUAACCCGUCGAAAGUCGGCCUAAUACCUCAUGGUAUCGUCUGCGGGCAUCCAACGACGAUUAAAGAUUUCAUCGGUCAGGGAUGGGGAUGCGUCUGAUUAGCUUGUUGGCGGGGUAACGGCCCACCAAGGCUACGAUCAGUAGGGGUUCUGAGAGGAAGGUCCCCCACAUUGGAACUGAGACACGGUCCAAACUCCUACGGGAGGCAGCAGUGAGGAAUAUUGGUCAAUGGGCGAGAGCCUGAACCAGCCAAGUAGCGUGCAAGAAGACGGCCCUAUGGGUUGUAAACUGCUUUUAUGCGGGGAUAAAGUGAGGGACGUGUCCCUCAUUGCAGGUACCGCAUGAAUAAGGACCGGCUAAUUCCGUG
This 491-nucleotide ribosomal RNA is filed under the name uncultured bacterium. RNAcentral describes it as "partial 16S ribosomal RNA". It matches the Rfam family "Bacterial small subunit ribosomal RNA", at positions 28 to 507 of the family's 1533-position model. The record is from RNAcentral.